AGUGAACGCUGGCGGUAGGCCUAACACAUGCAAGUCGAACGGCAGCACAGUAAGAGCUUGCUCUUACGGGUGGCGAGUGGCGGACGGGUGAGGAAUACAUCGGAAUCUACUUUUUCGUGGGGGAUAACGUAGGGAAACUUACGCUAAUACCGCAUACGACCUACGGGUGAAAGCAGGGGAUCUUCGGACCUUGCGCGAUUGAAUGAGCCGAUGUCGGAUUAGCUAGUUGGCGGGGUAAAGGCCCACCAAGGCGACGAUCCGUAGCUGGUCUGAGAGGAUGAUCAGCGACACUGGUACUGAGGCACAGGCCAGGCAGCCACGGGCGUCAGAUGGCGGGAAGAGGGGACACGGGGCGAGCGCCUGAUGCCGCCAUACCGCGAGGGGGAAGAACGUCUGCGGGUUGCAAAGCUCUUGUGUGAGGAAAACAAAGCAGCCGAUCAACACCCCGAGGGACAGAAGGCACCAAACGAAUAAGCCCCGGCUACCGGCGGACCCGCAGCCGGGGCAAUAAUCGGAAGCGCACCCUUCCGAAC
RNAcentral lists this ribosomal RNA (533 nucleotides) under uncultured bacterium. Its description in RNAcentral is "partial 16S ribosomal RNA". It matches the Rfam family "Bacterial small subunit ribosomal RNA", at positions 34 to 540 of the family's 1533-position model. The record is from RNAcentral.